Molecule: ribosomal RNA, 266 nt
Filed under: uncultured bacterium
Lineage: Bacteria
Description: partial 16S ribosomal RNA
Rfam family: Bacterial small subunit ribosomal RNA
Source: RNAcentral
GUCCACGCCGUAAACGAUGAGCACUAGGUGUCGCGGGUAUUGACCCCUGCGGUGCCGACGCUAACGCAUUAAGUGCUCCGCCUGGGGACUACGGCCGCAAGGUUAAAACUCAAAGGAAUUGACGGGGGCCCCGCACAAGCGGUGGAGCAUGUGGUUCAAUUCGACGCAACGCGAAGAACCUUACCUGGGCUAGACAACGGAGGCCCACCCCAGAGAUGGGGUUUUCCCUUCGGGGACUUCCGGUUCAGGUGCUGCAUGGCUGUCGU